This 11232-nucleotide long non-coding RNA is filed under the name Brassica rapa (field mustard). RNAcentral describes it as "long non-coding RNA (BRAP_LNC000215)". The record is from RNAcentral. Lineage: Eukaryota; Viridiplantae; Streptophyta; Magnoliopsida; Brassicales; Brassicaceae.
AACCAGUCACUAAAAAAGCAUCAAAACCUGUAGGAAACAAGACAGAGAAACCUCAAGACAAGAAACCUAAUAUAAAAAGUCCGGGACUUUCUCGUGACCCGAGUCUCGAAAUCAAGGAAACAGUGGAGGAAUCGCAGUCUUACUUCCCGGUGAAGCAAGUUGAUGAACUUCUUCCUACUGCUUCUUCUGUUGAUGACUUCAAAGACAUUAAAGAGAUGCAUAGCUUGCCGAAUGAAACCAUCACGGAAAUAUAUGUACUCUUUGUAUUAUUGAGAGUAACAUUUCUUUAUGAAAGUAAUUUAUUAGACCUUUUCGAUUGAAAGGAGAGGCCCAAAGCUGCAUUCUCUUUACUCGAGAAUAGAUUCAAUUUGUAUGGAAACUAAUGAAUUUAGGUAGUUUAUCUUACAAUUGUUGAACUUUGAGUGGAUUAAACUCCUCUUAUUGGAGUAUAUGUUAUACAUUGUGUGUCGUUGGUCUAUCUUAAUCUUUCUACUAUAACCUUUGUACACACGAGCAGUUGAAUUUCUACUUCGAUGACACCGUUACGUACGCAUCAUAUUACUCUUUCUUUCAAACUCUUACUCUCAAUUUUAUCUUUUCGUUUUAUAAAUAAACGAGUUUUACUAGCGCUUGAUUUUCGGAGAUAAUAUUAUCAAGAAAAUCUAAUAUUCUACAAACUUACUAUUUAUAUUUUAAAACCAUAUUAUUAUCAUUUUUCAUAGUUGGACUUGGAAUCUACGUAUCAUAAUUUUUUUUAAAAAAAAUAGUUUCUAUAUAGAAAAAAUUAUAUGAUUCAAGCUUCAAUGCUUAAUAUUUUAAACUUCGGAAUAAUGAUUGUAUGUAUGAUUGUUAACCGGUUUGAAAACGUGAAUCGAAGAGAUCUAUGAACAGAAUUAUAUUUGUGACUUUAACUAUCUUCGAAAUUCUAAGUCUCUAACCAAUAAUCCAGUCUUUACCUCUUCAUUGUGGCUCUAUAAAAAUCAUUAUUUUGUAAAAUAUCAUCAUUUUUGUCUCCAAAAUUUAAAUGCCUAAAUAACUGAAAACAAUACAGUUAAAUGAUCUAGAAACUUCGUCUUUCUAAUGUAUUCACUAGUAAACUUGCAAUCUAAUUAUGUGGUACUUCUUUCAUGUCAAGGACUAAGUUUUCAAAGGCAUAACCUAAGCACAACCCUCUGAUAUAUUUAUAGAGUUCCGAAACGACGUCUUUGAUGACCGUUAGCUGAGACAACUUUCGGUGGUUGCAACCCCCAUAUGAAAUCAAGAAAAUGGUCCAAAACUUUUGUGGCCACUCUCCUCUAUAGUUUUACUUAUCCCUAACAAAAGUAUUUUACAAUAAAUGUCCUCACAUAUGGAGUUUACUACCGAAAACAUUAGGGAAAUGCAAAGGAGAAGAAGUUGAAGAAAUGAUUGCAGAGACGGGGAUGCUGAUGGUAGGCGUUCUGGGAAUAUGGGCGCGACUUGUUCGGAAGCCACUGCUUGAAUUCACCGGAGAAGUUAUUCAAGUUGCCUCCGAAGUCGUGUCUAGGAUUGGUGUCCCUGAUACAGCUUCCUAUGUUUCUCUUUCUUCUAGUACAAACAACUCUUCACCUCCCAUCUCCCGAAGAAGGUGAUAUGAAAAUGUAUAGAUGAUAAGAUGUUAUGUAGAAGAAACUCAGGGAUACAGAUAUAGGUUUUGCAUUUCAUAUUUGUAGGUUCUCAACUAUAUAUAAGUAUACAUAUUUUAAUACGUUAAAUAACUGAUCUGGAACAGUUAUAUUUACAAUUAUAUUUACAAGAGUUUGAAGAAUGCUAAUUAAGGAAUCAUACUUUAUGUUGGUAGCAUUCUUUCAAACUCUACAGACUCUUGUAGACUACAUGGUUUGAGUGCAUGACUGGUGUUAGUGAUGUCUCGUGUUCCUCUAUCUACAUCAGCUGAAAGCUCAACCGCAGUAGACUACUAGAGCAUAGGCGGGAAACGACCUCUUAGGGCGUCAUAUUUUAAGCAAAAAUUUUAGUCGUACGUAGGGCAUAAUAGUUUUUUACAUAAAUAACAAAUGCAUAAAGUUUUAAGUGAGUUUAGGACGUCAAAGAAAAAAUUGAAAAAAUUGAACCAGCACUGAAAGUCGAGACAUCUCCAAAAUGAUUAGUGAGCAAAUUUUAUACCAAUCGUUGACCAUAUGUGACGAGAACGUGAUAUCAGCCGAGAAUGUGUUGUUGGGAAUUAUAAGAAGCGGACGGUCCCGUCUCCACUAGACUACUUUAGAUCCAGCGAAUAACAUGAUAUGCAAGUUUUUCAUAAAAGUACUUCAGAUACAAAGAAGGCUUUUCUUCUUAGCACGUUUACGCCCAAACUAAUGAUUUGUUACGGGCGAUUUCGUUCGUGUCGUUUGAUGGGCCUUUAAGCUAAUUAAAUUACUAAUCUGGUGAGAUUUCCUUACAUUCUUUGUGUUCAAACCUACUGCUAAGACCAAGUGAACUGAACCAAAAUUGUAUGUAAAAAUUGACAUCAAAUUGUAAUUCAGAUGAUUCACUGUUCCUUUAAUAGACAUUUAAUCCGACAUAAUUCCAAAUUCUUUUAUAAAAAAUACAGAAUUCAAACAACAGCCAAAACUAGUGAUCAUAUAAUAACUUUUAAUGGCUACUACUCUUUUGUUUUUUUUUUCCGAAAAAUGCCUACUACUCUUUUGUUGUGAUUAAUCAUCUUUUGGACGACAAAAAUUAUCUCUUGGAGCAACAGAGAAAAUAUAUUGUAUAACGUCAGAAAAGUAUCAGCAUUUAAUCUAUUUGUUCAGAUAAUGAAAAUGUUAGAAAAUAUCAAGAAGAAAAUAAUGAAUCUUCUUCAUUUCUCGAUAUCCUUUGACAAGAAGUAUAAGAAGACAAGUAGAUACAAUUGAUCAAUCACGUGACCCACAUUAAUAAUAACCAUAAUAAUGCCUAAUAACUUCUUGUAUAAUUAUUACAAACAGAACUUCCCUAUGACUAUUCUUGAUAUUGAGUUGGUUCCAAGUUCCAACUAGCUUAUACCUUUUGGUCAUAGUCUUGUGAUAUCAUUUAAUGAAGCAUCUGUUCUAACCAACAGAUGAAAUUUCUCGGUGAUUAGCCACUUUACCAUCAUUAAUGAUUUAUACAUUCCAACCUUAUACACACCUUUUAUCCAACAAAACAAUACUUCUUCCGUUUCUAGUUUCUAAAAAUAAUUCUUUUUAGAAUUUAUUCUUGUUCCACAAAAAUAGAUUUUCUAUAUUUUAAAGUAUUUUUGUAUAUUUUUGAUAAACACUAAUUAUAAAUAUUUGAAUUGAUUAAAGUUUAUUAGUGGAUAAUUAUUAGAAAGUGUAUUGAAAAAUAAAUUGUAAAUAUUUAUUAUAUUUUAAUAAACGUAAAAUUUCUAGAAAUUUUUAUUUUGAGAAACGGAAGGGGUAAUUAAAUUUGUGUAUUUCGUAUUUUAAACAAUUAAUAUUCGCAAGUCUAGAUAACUGAAUUGUGGACGAUAGUUUUUUUUUUUUCCGUCAAUAGUUGAUUUUAUAACUUAAUGGGCCAAGCCCAGAAUUACAAAAAAAAAAGGCCCAAAGCCCACCAAACGAAACCCUAGAGACGGUGCCUCCGUUCGCUCACGGCGUGCCCCCGCUUCCAGCCAUCACCGGUGAUCAAUCCAGCGAUCCACCGGCAGAACCAUCACUCACUGGCUUCCAAACCUCAUCGCCGCAAACGCUUCCAAACCGCGAGUUCCCAAUAGUGGAGAGAGUCAAUCGGUAAACCGAGAUCUCAUCCGCCUCCUUUCGUCACCGGAACUGGGAGGAAAGCUUCGCCGGCACAACCAAACCUUCAACAUCGGAUAGCUUCGAUCGUCUUCCGACGAGAACUCCUCCAACAAGACCAAACCGAAACCGCAAAAACCAAAGAUAAAAAACAACAAACCCUAACAACCCUAGGGGACUAAAAGCCGGCGGCGCAAGGCAAAGAACACCUUCACCCCCCGGAAACUGAAGCCGGCGAAAGCGGAGCUAACGAAGCCUCCGCCUCCCGGAAACUAGACCGGCGACGAUGGAUCUGAAGAAGCCUCCACCUCCCGGGAAACCCUAACCUGACAAACCGACAACACCCCACCUCACCCUUCACCCAGUCGCGUCGUUACUCCAGCCACCGCGCCACCGCGUGUGUCUGGUCACUCCCCGAGUUGACCACACCAGAUGGGAACUGGACAGAGCUCCGACAAAACGAACUGAACAGGAAGAGGAGGUGAAAAAAGAAGCCGGGGAACGUUUUUAACCAAAAGAAAAUGGACUCCGGCGACGGCACGGACGCUCACGCACCGGCCGUACGCCGGACCCGAAACCAGAUCUGCUCUCUCUCUCUACUUCUCUCUGCUGCUUUUUUUGUGGACGAUAGUUUUUUAGACUGAUGUAAUAAAUAGUAUUUUCUUUAAAUUUAGUUUUAUCAGCCUAGUGAGUGGUGGUUGUCGUGUUAGCAUCGGAAUCACAUAUCGUAGUGCAACAUCCAUGGCAAGAAGUUAUAAAAAGAAAACAUCCGUGGUAAGAUAAUUAAAUUUGCAUCACUUUAUAACUUUUUCAUCAAAACACAAUACACGAUUCAUCAAUAUACAAUAACUCCUUCAGAUUCGUUUUUUUUGUGUAGCAAUUAAGAACUUUAAGUAUAUGGGCAAACACUACUACUUCAUCACGAUCUUCUGCACCAAGUUCGAAUCAUUCUAUACCUCACAUGGUUUGAUAUAUCUAUUAAAUAAUUGUGUAACUCGAUUGUUUCCCCUCCAAGCUAAGAAAAAAAUAAUAAAUAUAGUAAACUUCAUAACACAAUCAUUUUGGUAAUAUAGUUUCGAUUAUAAUGUUUAUCUAAGUAACUGUUACUGUCAUCUGUCACUCUUAGUAUCCAAGUUUUGACCAAUUUGAGUGAUCUAACAUGUCAACUAACACUUUUAUUACAAAUAAAACACUUGUUUAUUCAAAUUAUAUACUAUUUUCUAUCGUAAAUUGCAAACAUUUUAAUAUUGUCAUUUAUCAACUUGCGCUGUUUUCUUAUUCUCGCCACUACUAGCACAAAAGUUGAGACUUGUAAGAAACACACACAUCUACCAAACUUCGAUGCCAUGUACCAAUUUACAUAAAUGAAAUACAGACAUUUUGGCUAGUUGAAAAGAUUCUCUUUGGACAGAUGACUAAUUUAGUCGCCGGUGUCUCAAAGUUAGAGCAAAGUAGACAUGUAUUGGAAAACUGAAAAACGAGAGCCUCCUGUAAUGCGCUGAAAUCAGCUUGUUUCAGGGUUUCGCAUCCCUUAUAUACUAAAGUACAAGUCACUCAACCAAUUAUAUUUUGACACAUAAUUAAUUUUUUUCUUUUCAAAAAAAAUUAAUAAAAACAAUAGAAAAAAUUAAAACAGUUUAUUAUCCACGUAAAACAAAAGAGAAAGCAAAAUUGUUCUAACUGCCUCAAGCAUUACAUCACGAUCUCAACUCCCUACAUUACAUCAGUUUAAAUGACCACUAUAAUCACUCUGAUAACAAAUUUGCUUACAAAAUUAUUCCAAAAAGUUUAACUUCUUCCACAAAAUAACCAAUGCUUUCAUAUUUCCUAUAAUUUGACUUUCUUAUCUUACAGAAAGUUUUUUUUUAUUGUAACUGUUCUUAAAGAAAGUUUUUGAAGUUGCAGAAACAAUAUCGGAUGGAUGUUGUGUACAAAAUGAUUUUGGAAAAGAAGAAAAGAAAGUUAAAAAGGCUUUAGGAAAUUCACUGUUUGUCAGUGGUGUAGAUGAGUUCCUGUAGUAGUUAAAUGAGUAAGUGAUCUCAGCAUUUAAUUAUCUUGCGUAUACAAUUUUGAAUUCAUUUUCGUUUUUUUUUUGAUGUGCAGAGAAGUCGUUUUGUUACAACGUCUUCACGUGACAAGUUUAUUCCUUGAACCAAAGCUCCUCGACUGAAACUUAGCUCUAUUCUCUAUGUUUCAGAUUGUAGUGAAGAAGAGUGAGAUGAUGAGAAGAAGAGACUUCAAAAUUACAAGGAGAUUGUCUGCAUAAAACAAGUUAUGUUCUGGGAUGAUGGUUGAAGAAGAAUGGAAGAGAAGGGAGACUCCAAGAUACAAGAGACUUUCACUGCUCAUAUUUUGAUUAAUAGGUCAGAUGCAUAAUCUCUUAGCCAUCUUUUAACCAUUCAAAACAUGUAUAUUCUUGAGUAUAUUUUGAAUUUGGUUAAAAAUAAAGUAAAUAAAAUAUAAAGAUUAUUAGUUAAAUAUGUUCGUAUGUUAAAUUAUUAGUAUAUACUAUAUCAUAUUUUGAUCAUAUCUAUAUUAUGCAAUAUUUCUUUCACUAUAUUUUACUAAUAGAUAAACUAAUAUAUCAUGCUAUCAUCAAUUUUUUUUCUUCUAAUUAAAAACUAAAUUUCUUCUAAUUUACUUUGAUGUAAAAUAAAAAUUAAAUUGUGUAACAACACAGUUAAGUUGAACUAAAAAGAGAGUUUUGCUAUUAAUUAUGAAAAAAGAAAAAUAACAUUUUAAUUUUAUUAAACACAAUGAAGAGUACCCCGUGCGUAGCACGGGUUGAACAUACUAGUUAGAUUAUAAUUGAAUGUGAUUUGCGAUGAAUAAGGAGAUGAAGAAAUUUGAUAGACUAUACUUCCAUUCGUUUCAGAGAAAAGUAUAAUUUUAAAAAAUUUCACAUAUAUUUUUAAAAUGACAACAUUAAUUUAUGUUUUAAUUAUAUUUUUAAAUUAAUAGUAUUUUAAUGCAUUGUAUAAUUAAUAUUAAAUUUUAAAAUAAAAAUAAAUUAUAUUAGAAUUUUAUAAAUAAUACUUUGGAAGGAAAAAUAUCAAAAUAACAUUUUUAUGAAACAAAAAGUAUUAGAUGAAACACAGUUCAGUGAAGUCUUCCGGGAACUUAAUCAGAAACUUGCAAAACUGAUUUGAUUAACUAAUAGUAGUAUCCUACAUCAAACCCUGACUUUAUCCAUUAAUAUGUAUUAAUGAUCCUUAAUCAUCCUUUAAAAUCUUGCGAAGUUUGGUAAAAUUAAGGAAAUUACAUGUUGCAAGACAAAUAAAAUAUUUUAAGUACAAGUAAACAGUCAAUAUAGAAGUCUGUGUGUUAUCGGGUGAAGUGGGUGUGUCGGCGUACAGAACGAAGGGACCCAUAUGGGGCAUAUGAUUAAAUCAUUUAUUAAAUAUUAAAUAAAUGAGAAUAGAAAAAAAAAGAAAAAAAAAGAGAAAGAAUCAAGCAAACCUUCUACUACUAAUGAAACUCUCUCUCUCUCUCUCUCUCUCUCUCUCUCUCUCUCCUCUUUCUUCUUCUACAUGUGAAUAUCUGAGCUUCAAGUAGUGCAUGUGCUCGCUAUUGGAUCUCAAAUCAUCGUUUCUACAGCUUUUACUUCUCUAUCUCUUAGCUGUCACGAAACAUUCUCUUUCACUUCUCUCUCUCUCUGCUAAAAUAAAUCAGAAACAUAUCAACAUUCUUGAACAGAGCCAUAAGUUCUUCAACUGAAUCUUAAAUUAACCCAUCUUCUGUGUUUGUUUGUUGGAUCUUUAAAUGGAUCCAAGAACAAGACUUGACUAUGUUCUGUUUCAACUCACACCCACCAGGACAAGGUAAGUUCUAAACCUCAAAACGCUACUUUAUUUAUUUCUUUCUUUUUUCUUAACCAUGUUUGAUUCUCUGUUUUUAUUUUUGUCUUUUUGCUGUCUGAAGAUGCGAGCUCGUGAUUUUCUCCGGUGGCGAGAACGAGAAGCUUGCUUCCGGGAUUUUUCAACCGUUCGUCACGCAUCUCAAAAGCGUAAGAGAUCAGAUUUCUAAAGGCGGAUACUCCGUCACUCUCCGUCCUUCCUCCGUCAACGGCGGCGUUAAUUGGUUUACCAAAGUGACGCUUCAGAGGUAAAGAAAGCUCUCUCCGUCUUCUAGUAAUCAUUUUGUCUGAGAAUGUACUAAAAAAACUUUUGCUUCUUGGUUUAAAGAUUUGUGCGAUUCGUGACGACUCCGGAGGUUCUUGAGAGGUCCGUGACAUUAGAGAAGGAGAUUGAGCAGAUCGAGGAUUCGAUUCAGUCUAAUGCAGCCGCUAUUUCCGGCGAAGCAGAAGGUAACAUCAUGUUGAUGUUCGGACACAGACACAUGCUUUAUGUUAUUAAAACAUGAACCAGGGAUUUUGCAAUUUGUUGUUUUGACUAAUAUUUUUCCAACGUUCUGUAUAUAGGAAACGAGUUGGGUACUACUCAGAAGUCUACAGCUUUAUUAAAGGUGAUUCUUAUAAAAUGCUUAAAAGCGGAGUUCUUGAUUAAUGUUUCAGUUGGUUAUUGACUCUGUUUGUAUGUAUUAGGCACAAGGUGAAUCUGAUGGCCAAGAAAAUUCUAAGUAAGUUCUAGUAUAGCCUUCCUUUGUUGUUAUUGUCUUGAUCGGUUAUGUGAAGUAGAUUAUUGAUCCUGACAAGCCGUGAAAUGAAUGUAACAGGGUUGGUCUUCAGCGUGUUCUUGAAACCCGCAAAGCUGCUUUGUGCAAAGAGCAAGCCAUGGCUUACGCUAGAGCUUUGGUUGUUGGGUUUGAAUUGGACUACAUGGAUGAUCUCUUGUCCUUCGCAGAUGCUUUUGGAGCUUCGCGUUUAAGGUAACUAACUGAACCAAGAACCAUCCAUGUCCUUGUUUGCAUUUGUAUGAAGAUGGUGAAUAAUCACUUUUGUGUUGCGUUCAGGGAAGCAUGUGUUAACUUUGUGGACUUGUGCAAGAGAAAGAACGAAGAUAGGAUGUGGGUGGACCAGAUCACAGCUAUGCAAGCCUUUCCCAGGCCUGAGCUAUCCUUCAUGGGUGACUCUGGGAUCAUACUCGCUGGGGAAGAGAAUGAUAACGUCAAGCAAGGGAACAACAGCAUGGAUGCAAUGAGCCAGGGUAGCUUUGAGACUAGCCAAGGUCCUCCUCAGAUGCCAAUGCCUUGGCCAAACCAUUAUCCUCCUCAGUACAUGCAAGGACAUGGCUAUCCUCCUUAUAUGUAUCCCGGCCAGCCACCGUAUUUCCCACAAUGGCCUGUAAACAUGGGAGGAGAUGUGGAGACAAGUGAGAAGACUUCCAAGAAGAAAAAGAAGAAGAAGAAGAAGAACAAGAAGAAGUAUGAAUCCUCCGAGGAGCAAAGCGAUGAGUCCGGUGCUGAGACCGUAUCAGAGGACGGAGAUGAAGGGAAGAAAUCAUCUAGAAAAGUUGUUAUACGCAACAUAAACUACAUAACUUCAAAGAGAAACGGAGCCAAGGAUAGCGAUUCCGAUGAGUCUGAAGACGAAGAAGAAGAAGGCUUUGUGGAUGGAGACUCCAUCAAGCAGCAAGUGGAGGAAGCUAUUGGCUCACUGGAGAAACGGCAUAAAUCAACUUCACGCCGUAGUAGGAGGAAGCACAAAAGCCACAGUGAAGAUGAGGAGGAUUCAGGUAGUAAAGAAACCAAAGGGAAUGAUAACUGGGAUGCUUUCCAGAACCUUCUUUUAAAAGACAAAGAUUCAGACCAGGAAACAGCUUCGUGUCCGGUGAACAUGGAGUCAGAAGUUAUGAGCAAGAGAGAGCUGCCUUCGGAUGAUUCUUUCUUGAUUACAAAUGGGAAUGAGGAUUGGGGGAGAGAGAGCAGUGUCAAGAAACUUGAUGCGGGUGAGAAUGUUAGGCUGAUGAGAAGAGAGAACAACUACGACGAUGAGAUGAUGAAUCCAGGGAGAGGAGAUGAGCCAAGAAGCUACUCACAGGCAGAGAUGGCUGUUUAUAAUGGGAAGCUCCGCGCUAGAAACGAGACAGAGGAAGACUGGUUCAUACGUAACCAAGCAGAUACUGAAAGAGAUGUCAAAACCUUUGUAGGAGACGAUUUGCAUGUAACAAAGAGAAGUGUUGAGAGAGAUGUACUGACCGAUGACUCGUUCAUGAUCCAUUCUCGUGUUGAGAGCCAAGUGGAAGAGUCUCGGUUAAGGACAGAGAUCAUGGACUCUGACGUUUAUGGAACCACCAAACAAGAAAACUCCUCUGCACCGGAGAUUAACAACAGACAAGAGCCGGAUGAUCUUUUCAUGGUUCUUGGACGUGAACAAGAUGUUACACCUGCAAUGGUAUCGUGGACACCUGAGAUUGACUUCGAGACCAACACUUUGGCUCAAGAGAAAAGGAAAGCUGAUUUGGAAACUGCUGCAAAGGCCUCUGAACAGACUUCAGAUGGUAAAGAAAAGAAACUUCGUGUCGUUAGAAAGGAUGCAAAGACAAGAGGACCAAGUAGACCUGACCCGGCUUUGAAAGCUAAGAGAGCUCCCUGGGGAAGUAGAGCAGCUGCCACCAAAACCAAAUCCGAGCUGGUAAAUUUCUCUUAACUAACAGCAUUUCAUUUUUCCUGAUUAGUUUCAUUCAUGGUUCUAAAAAAUCGGUUCAGGCAGCAAAUCAGUCUGAAAUGAUUUUCUUAAAAAUCUGAUUUAUACGAUUUCAAAUCGGUUUAAACCAGGUUAAACUGUUUUAAAUCGGCUUAAAUUGAUCUAAAUUAGUCUGAAUAUGUUAAAUUAAACAAUAAUGUUAGUACAAAUCUACAAUUUUGUCUAAUAUUUUUGUUAAUUCAUCAAAAUAGUUUUAUAAUUUAAAAUCAAAAACUAAAAUAUUAUAUAUAAAUGUAAAAUGUAUCUAAAAUAAAUCAGUAAUUCAUUAAUAGUAGCUAGUUUCUAUAAAAACACCUAAUUUACCACCUAACGAUUUCUUGAACAUGUCUCACUUGGAUUUGGUAUUUUGAUAGGAGGAAGAGAGAAAGAAGAGAAUGGAAGAACUUUUGAUUCAAAGGCAAAAGAGAAUCGCUGAGAAGAGUUCUGGUAGUAGUGUAUCAAGUCCCUUGGCCACCAAGAAAACUCCUACUGGAAACAAAACCGUGAAGACCUUGAUAAAGAAUGAGAAGACACCUGAAGCCGUGAAGGCUAAGCCGGUACUGAGAAGUUCCACCAUUGAGCGCCUUGCUGUUGCCAGGACAGCACCAAAGGAGCCACAACAGAAACCAGUAACCAAAAAAACAUCGAAACCUGUAGGAAACAAGACAGAGAAACCUCAAGACAAGAAACCUAGUAAAAAAAGUCCGGGACUUUCUCGUGACCCGAGUCUCGAAAUCAAGGAAACAGUUGAAGAAUCACAGUCUUACUUGCCGGUGAAGCAAGCUGAUGAACUUCUUCUUCCUGCUGCUUCUUCUGUUGAUGGCUUCAAAGACAUUAAAGAGAUGCAUAGCUUGCCGAAUGAAACCAUCACUAAUCAUCAGAAAGUACAAGAACAGACGAAAGUCGAUGAUGAGG